CCAGGCCUAGGGAGAGAGCACUGGCCCUACUCUGGGCAGGAAGUCAACAGGGGAGUGGAGAGUAAUGCUAAGAAAACAUCCCCCGUCUUUCAGGAGGGUGAACUGCUUUCCCCUGAAAUCGCCACAUCCUCAGUUUCUCAAAAUAAGGGAAAGGAGUCCGCUUGAGCUACUGACAAGAUGAAAGAACUGUUAAGGGGCCUAACGAGAGAAAGAGAAAAGGACUAGGAGGAGAAAAGUGUCUUUCGUGUUAAGGAAGACAGGACGAGGCACACAAGGACCGGCCACGAGCUUGCUAGGAGUUAAUGUAAGCAAUCAGUGAGUGCGUAGUUCGCUACCCAGCAAGAACCAAAUGCUGCUGCUGCUGCUACUGCUGCUGAAGUCGAACUUUAAGAACUCAGUAACCUAAAGAGGAGUUUGAAGAGGUAUCAUGAAACGCCGUCCUGCGGAAACAUCCACCAUCCGGACCACUGAGGGACCCCAGAACCCAACCUCCAACUGAGUGAACACGGGGAAUGCUCAGAUAGAGAGGCAAGGACCUUGGUCUGCUCCCUCCAUGUAAGAGCUGAUCUGGCUUCCC
This 577-nucleotide long non-coding RNA is filed under the name Homo sapiens (human). Its description in RNAcentral is "LHRI_LNC888.2". The record is from RNAcentral. Lineage: Eukaryota; Metazoa; Chordata; Mammalia; Primates; Hominidae.